CAGCCGCCGCGGUAAUACGUAGGUGGCAAGCGUUGUCCGGAAUUAUUGGGCGUAAAGGGCUCGCAGGCGGUUUCUUAAGUCUGAUGUGAAAGCCCCCGGCUCAACCGGGGAGGGUCAUUGGAAGCUGGGAAACUUGAGUGCAGAAGAGGAGAGUGGAAUUCCACGUGUAGCGGUGAAAUGCGUAGAGAUGUGGAGGAACACCAGUGGCGAAGGCGACUCUCUGGUCUGUAACUGACGCUGAGGAGCGAAAGCGUGGGGAGCGAACAGGAUUAGAUACCCCAGUAGUCCCUGUCUCUUAUAC
Molecule: ribosomal RNA, 301 nt
Filed under: uncultured bacterium
Lineage: Bacteria
Description: partial 16S ribosomal RNA
Rfam family: Bacterial small subunit ribosomal RNA
Source: RNAcentral